RNAcentral lists this ribosomal RNA (255 nucleotides) under uncultured bacterium. RNAcentral describes it as "partial 16S ribosomal RNA". It matches the Rfam family "Bacterial small subunit ribosomal RNA", at positions 524 to 776 of the family's 1533-position model. The record is from RNAcentral.
UACAGAGGGUGCGAGCGUUUGUCCGGAAUCACUGGGCGUAAAGAGCGCGUAGGCGGUCCGAUAAGUCGGCUGUGAAAGUCAGGGGCUCAACCCUUGAAAGCCGGCCGAUACUGUCGGACUAGAGUUCGGAAGAGGCAAGUGGAAUUCCCGGUGUAGCGGUGAAAUGCGCAGAUAUCGGGAGGAACACCAAUUGCGAAGGCAGCUUGCUGGGAUGAUACUGACGCUGGAGGAGCGAAAGCGUGGGGAGCGAACAGG